This 231-nucleotide ribosomal RNA is filed under the name uncultured bacterium. RNAcentral describes it as "partial 16S ribosomal RNA". It matches the Rfam family "Bacterial small subunit ribosomal RNA", at positions 15 to 228 of the family's 1533-position model. The record is from RNAcentral.
GAUCCUGGCUCAGGACGAACGCUGGCGGCGUGCUUAACACAUGCAAGUCGAACGGAGCACCCUUGAAUGAGGUUUCGGCCAAAGGAAAGGAAUGCUUAGUGGCGGACUGGUGAGUAACGCGUGAGGAACCUGCCUUUCAGAGGGGGACAACAGCUGGAAACGGCUGCUAAUACCGCAUGACGCAUUCGGAUGGCAUCAUCUGAAUGCCAAAGAUUUAUCGCUGAAAGAUGG